Molecule: long non-coding RNA, 555 nt
Filed under: Populus tremula
Lineage: Eukaryota; Viridiplantae; Streptophyta; Magnoliopsida; Malpighiales; Salicaceae
Description: long non-coding RNA (PTRE_LNC002710)
Source: RNAcentral
UUUAAUUUCAUUACAAAGAAAUUAUAAAGAUAAAAAAGAGUGAUGAAUUAUAAAGAAAAAUAAAAUAAAAAAUAGAGAAAUCUCCAAUCCCCAGGAAAAUAUGGAUUCUCUCUUGAAAUUAAAGUUAAAAAUAAUAUUUUAAAAAUACCCACAUGUUAACACAAAUACUACCCCCACCCUCCCACCCCCAUCCCCCUCCGAAAAGGAUGUCUCGAGAACUUGGGAAGGAGAAGGUUCUUGACCACAUGACAGAGAGAUCCCUUGAGCUGGGAUUCUUGCAUUCAUACAGCAGCUCGGCCGAGGAAAACUGUUGUGAUAGGACAUCGGAAAGAUAACAACGAAGAAAAGCAUCAUCGAGGAGGGAAAAAAGAGGAGCUUUCACACUUGAAUUAUUCAAGGAACGCAGGCGUGCGGUGGUGAACACAGACGGAACUCUCGUCAAGGCAUGAGAAAUCGUCCUUACAAUUUCCACUGUUCGGUGUCCCCAUUUUUUUCCAAAGAAAUUGACGAUAGCAAACUUUAUAACCACACAAAAUGACUAUGGUCGUAUUCGAA